CUACGUUUAAAUUUAGAGAUACUUCCUCAAUCGUGAUACUUGAGGAAAACUUCAGUGCCCUAACAUCUUACUUUGAAGUUCGAGAUAGAAUAUGAAUGUCACGACCGACCAAUGUUUUUUCGGGUUUGAAACUGCAAAGACUGAAGAGAAGCAGGAGAGUUGUGUAUUUUUAUCAGUAACUGUUCCCCCUUGUAAUGAAGACAGAUACAAUAUUGAGUAUGGAGUGGAUAAUUUAUUGUUUGAGGUGGACUGCAACAAUCAUGAAGAUGAAAAAGCCACCGAGCAACAAUUAGAUAGCUGUUUACAUGUAGAAUGUUCAGUUGAAAUUGUUUUCGACAAUAAUAAUUAUAUGAGUGCAAAAUAUGUUACAACAAAUAUAGGACAAAAACUGGCUACAAACGAUAUUUAGUAAGUACAUAUUUGGAAGAUAUUUGUUUUAGCUUGUAAAAACAUUUUUGCAUAAAAAUUUAAGGUUUGUUGUAGAUACCAAAAACAUAAUUAUAAUUUUUGUUGUGUAUUGUUAUAAUCUAUAGAUUUUGUUGAAGUCUGUCAAGGCCAAUGUUACUGAAAUUAUAGAGAUUUACCGGUAGUUCAAUAAUGUUUGGAAAUAUGUAAUUGAUUAUGUGCAUGUGGGCAGACCGAAUCAUUUAUCACUCUUAUGAAAAUAGAGAAGCUGUGCCGACAGUGGUAUACAUUGUACAUGUACUACUUAUUGGAAUCCUGUAUUUGUCGAGUUCCAUAAUUAUUUUCUUAAUACUGUUAGUAGACAGUGUUCAUAUCAAAUAAAAAUAUAUCAACAUAAUAGAUGAUAUCCCUUAUAUUGCCAUGUGUACAAUGUACAUAAUUGUUACCAUUUCAGACAUCUUUAAAUGUCAAAUGACAUAAUUUGAAAUUAAUGUUAUAAACUCUGAAAUAUUUUAA
Molecule: long non-coding RNA, 921 nt
Organism: Dreissena polymorpha
Lineage: Eukaryota; Metazoa; Mollusca; Bivalvia; Myida; Dreissenidae
Exons: 3
Source: RefSeq, a predicted model, not a curated record